UACGAAGGGGGCUAGCGUUGUUCGGAAUUACUGGGCGUAAAGCGCACGUAGGCGGCAUUCCAAGUUGGAGGUGAAAUCCCCGGGCUUAACCUGGGAACUGCCUCCAAAACUGGGAAGCUCGAGUCCGAGAGAGGUGAGUGGAAUUUCCAGUGUAGAGGUGAAAUUCGUAGAUAUUGGAAAGAACACCAGUGGCGAAGGCG
Molecule: ribosomal RNA, 200 nt
Filed under: uncultured bacterium
Lineage: Bacteria
Description: partial 16S ribosomal RNA
Rfam family: Bacterial small subunit ribosomal RNA
Source: RNAcentral